GACGAACGCUGGCGGCGUGCUUAACACAUGCAAGUCGAACGGAAAGGCCCUGCUUUUGUGGGGUGCUCGAGUGGCGAACGGGUGAGUAACACGUGAGUAACCUGCCCUUGACUUUGGGAUAACUUCAGGAAACUGGGGCUACUACCGGAUAGGAGCUCCUGCGGCAUGGUGGGGGUUGGAAAGUUUCGGCGGUUGGGGAUGGACUCGCGGCUUAUCAGCUUGUUGGUGGGGUAGUGGCUUACCAAGGCUUUGACGGGUAGCCGGCCUGAGAGGGUGACCGGCCACAUUGGGACUGAGAUACGGCCCAGACUCCUACGGGAGGCAGCAGUGGGGAAUAUUGCACAAUGGGCGGAAGCCUGAUGCAGCAACGCCGCGUGCGGGAUGACGGCCUUCGGGUUGUAAACCGCUUUCGCCUGUGACGAAGCGUGAGUGACGGUAAUGGGUAAAGAAGCACCGGCUAACUACGUG
This 468-nucleotide ribosomal RNA is filed under the name uncultured bacterium. Its description in RNAcentral is "partial 16S ribosomal RNA". It matches the Rfam family "Bacterial small subunit ribosomal RNA", at positions 28 to 507 of the family's 1533-position model. The record is from RNAcentral.